ACUCUUAUAAAACCUGAAGUCGUCAGCUUGACUUAAAGUGGCCUCCUGGUACAAGAGUCACAGUUUAUUCAGUGGAUUUUAGGAUAAUAACUGCAGAAAGUCCAGCAACACUAUCCAGGCACACCACAUGAUCUCUGACCAGACCUGGUUCUGCGCCUGAGUAGACUGGAGCUCCAGACCUAGCUGAAGAAAAGCAGCCCAGAAAUACGAUGCUCCCACCACCAUGCUUCACCGUGCCUAUGAUGUUCUUACGGCGCGUCUCGUCAGACCACAACACAUUUUGCCACAUGAUUUGGAGUGAUUUAAGCAGGAUUGGGUUUUUGUUUGCAAAGGGUUUCCGUCCAGCUGCUCUACCUCCUAGUCCAGAUAGAUGAAAAAUACAAAAGGCUCCUACAUGCAGGAAGUGACCAGUACAUGCCAGACAUCCUGGCACUUGGCAUCCUCCCUGGUCAUUUUUUUUUAUCUUUUGACAUUAAAGGGCGGUGUCCUGCUCUUUUAACGUGUCUAUGAUGCCAUAGUCAUAAUUAUGGCCUUCACAGUGUUAGAUGGUACAUUAAAUUUUGAAAUAAUUUUGUAUCUCUCUUCUGAUUGAUGAAAUCAAGAAGCUGUCAAAAAAUCUCAAAGGAAACAUCUUUUUGGGGGUAAUUUCUGUUUGUUUUUCACAUGCACUUUGUUGAAACCAUGUUUGUUUGUCAAGCCAUGAGGAUACAGGAUACUGGUGUACAGUUACUUCAUUUGAAAGUGUUAGUUCAGCUGAAUAGCUUUCUGUCUUUUAGUGGUCACCUUUCAUAAUAAGUGCUUGCAUCUCACUGUUUACAACUAAACAAAAGUGUUCUGAAGGUAGGAGACUGUGGUAGGAGGGCGAAAUGCUUGUCUUCAAACAUGCCAAUACUAGUAACAUGGCCAGUAUGGUUGUUAAUACAAAGAUAACACAAAGGACUUGCAUUUGUCUUAGGGUAAUUUUGAAUAACUGCUUUCUAUUUGCCGUCUUUUGCUCUUCUUGCUUAAUGUACGCCUUCUUCUGGAUAUUCUGGAUGUAUUUGCGGAUGAGGUGAAGUGAAAAUAAUUGAUUGACAGUUGUAUAAUGACUGGAAUGAAGUUUAAUGGCAGAUAAACACAGAGAGUGUAGGCAGCUGUUUGGAUCUUAUUAUGUGGGCAAAAGAGUUGAUCUAGUUAACCAACUAAUUAUAGCUAAACUACCACGCCAACACUGAAGUAGGCACCUAAGAAGGAAACAUUUAUGUUACCAAUAAAGCCUUUUUGGUUUGUUAUGAUCCUGACUCAAACGACUUUAGUGGAGUCGAGUCAGUGGAGAAAUCAUUGUGAACGUCUAGCCAGGGAUCAUAGAUGGGGACUUGCGGCCUUGUGAAGACCAGUUUUCUGAGGUCUGGUUAAAGCCUCAGUUUAGUCAUUACAAUUCUGUCGCUAAGCACUAAGUCUUCAGUGGACAGCGCACUGGUCCAAAUCUGCUGUUAUGUCUGUGCUUCAUAACUGAGGAAACUUGGCAUUAAGAGCAUUAAGAGUCAAAAAUACAAUCAUGAUGUUCCUAUAUAAUUUGUUCAUUUCAACGUUUUCAUAAUAUAAUAAUAAUUAAAUAAAAUAAAUACAUAAUAAUAUAAUGUUAGUUGAUUUUUCGGCUGCUCCCUACGUGUGUGAGGGGUCGCCACAGCGGCCCAAUUGGUCCGCACAUCAACUUGGCACAGGUUUUUACACCAGAUGCCCUUCCUGACACAACCCUCCCAUUUUAUCCGGGCUUGGGACCGGCACUACAUCUAGUGGCCGGGGUCGGGCACUGGCUGGGAAUCGAACCCGGGCCGGGAAUCAGACAAGAAACCUACCACUGAGCCACCAGUGCCCCUAAUAAUAAUAAUAUAAUAAACAUUAUUAUUAUUAUUAUUAUUAUUAUUAUUAUUAUUAUUAUUAUUAUUAUUAUACUCACCAUAAUAUAUGUAAUUAGAGUACCUUCUGAAAACUUGGCUUGUAUAACCACUGAAGUGCCUGAAAAUGUCAAAAAUGUGAGUACAGUUCAGUUACAAUAAACUGAUGUAAAAUCCUAAUUUGGACUACAGACUGAAAGAAAUCCCCACUACCUGAUGCAUAUUACAUUUGAACAUUACGUAUAUGUCUUAUAAAGGCACAUUGGUCCAGCAACUGCAGACUGUCUUGCACGAGUAUCUCUUCUCCUACACCCAGGCACCAUUUUUACCCCCUGACAGUUAAUGUGGACCCGUCUAUCUUUUAAUUAAAUGAAUCUCACUUAUACAUAGAAUUGCCAUUCAUUUUGAUAUAGACACACCCAAAGACUGAAGAUCACAUUUACCUCAGUUUUAAAAGGAAACUCAAGGCUCAGCUGUCUGUGUCAAUAUUCUAGCAUAUUUGAAUGGCAGGCCUUUGCAUAUCCUCUUAAAUUUCGGGAUUGUGUUUAAGAGACCAACAGCUAAGCCUUUAAAUGUAAAUGUGUGACGUAUGGAUCUCAGUUUGGUGAUGGAUGUGUGGUUAAGCACCGGGUUUGUUUGAAUGGGGGGUGGAGUUGAAGAGUAACAAAC
Molecule: long non-coding RNA, 2546 nt
Organism: Hemibagrus wyckioides
Lineage: Eukaryota; Metazoa; Chordata; Actinopteri; Siluriformes; Bagridae
Exons: 3
Source: RefSeq, a predicted model, not a curated record